UAGACAAAGAAAGGCAGCCGUUUCUGAUAAAAAAAGACCCGAGGCUAUCAUCUCUAACAUUCUGAAGCUUCAGCCAUUCAACACAACACACACGACCCACCUGAACUUCAUUAUCUUCAGCACACAAUACACAACCCAAAAAUCAUCAGCAACGAUCCCACCCAAAACCCAGCAACCUAAAGCCUCACACCACCCCAACCUCCCUCGAAACCAGCUGGAAUCCAGCCGAGGAACCAGUCAAAAAAUAGCCUAAAUUUGCAGUCGAAAUCAGCUCCAAAAACCUUAAACCAGCCAUGGACAUCACCUGAACUCCAAUCCCAAAUCAAAUCCGGUUGGAUCCAAUAUUUCUGGUAACUUGUAUAUUUUUCGGCAAUUUUCAGUCCAAGACUCGCCUUCACUCACUGCCAAAGAGGGUCGAAACAAACUUCUGGAUUCAAAACUUGAAUUCUGGAUUUGGAAACAAAAACCCUUCAAAAACAGAAAACAAAUAUAGAAAUAAAUGAGGAUUUCCAUAUUUCAUGGGGAUUUCAUUAAUUAAUAUGGUUUUCCAGUAAAGUUCAGUCCGUCGAUUCCAAUUGAGGUUCCGGUCGCCGUUCUUGUUGGAGCUCGGAUUUCUGCAACUGUUUUCUUCUCAAGUGUGUCGCCGAAUCUUCUUCUGCUUGUAAUCGUUUCCAAAUAGAUUUAAUCGAAAGAAAUUUCAAACAUUCUGAUGGUAAAUCGGUUCUCAAGGUCACUGAUGAUAACGAGUUUCUAUCUUUGCAUUGCAAUCUAGUGCUAAUAUUUGGGUCCUUUUGUUGUCGUUCUCUCUUGAAUCCUAUUGGGGUGUGUGUAAAAGCUACAGUCUGCACGAGAUUUGCUGUAUAAUGACGUUCGUGUUUUUAUAAAGAAGGAUAAAUUAGCUUGUCUUAAGCUUUGAUGAUCGAAAUCAACUUGUUUCAUGUUUUUGGCAUUUGAUACACGACCAAUAUGGAGCUUCAUUUGUUCUGAAUGUUGGUAGUAUUGGCCAUUUUAUGUUGAAUAGUCUGUUUGUUAUUAGGGGUUCAAUGCCAUUGAGAUUCUGUUUGUGUGAUAGCUCCUCUUUGUAAUUGAUAGCAAAUUGAGUGUGAAUAGCCCGAUGACAUGGGGAUAAUUUUCUUAUAAAUCAGAUUUGGCCUCUGCUUUUAUAUUG
Long non-coding RNA from Nicotiana attenuata, 1168 nucleotides. RefSeq lists it as uncharacterized. The record is from RefSeq and is a predicted model, not a curated record. Lineage: Eukaryota; Viridiplantae; Streptophyta; Magnoliopsida; Solanales; Solanaceae. The transcript is spliced from 2 exons.